This 84-nucleotide transfer RNA is filed under the name Candidatus Pelagibacterales bacterium. Its description in RNAcentral is "tRNA-OTHER". The record is from RNAcentral. Lineage: Bacteria; Pseudomonadati; Pseudomonadota; Alphaproteobacteria; Candidatus Pelagibacterales.
GGGGGUGAUAAGGUAAGUGAGAUUUUAGAACCGACAAAUUAGCGGUAGCAAUCUCAAACGGCGGUUCGAUUCCGCCCACCUCCA